GAUGAACGCUGGCGGCGUGCCUAAUACAUGCAAGUCGAGCGAACAGACGAGGAGCUUGCUCCUCUGACGUUAGCGGCGGACGGGUGAGUAACACGUGGAUAACCUACCUAUCAGACUGGGAUAACUUCGGGAAACCGGAGCUAAUACCAGAUAAUAUAUUGAACCGCAUUGUUCAAUAGUGAAAGACGGUUUUGCUGUCACUUAUAGAUGGAUCCGCGCCGCAUUAGCUAGUUGGUAAGGUAACGGCUUACCAAGGCAACGAUGCGUAGCCGACCUGAGAGGGUGAUCGGCCACACUGGAAGUGAGACACGGUCCAGACUCCUACGGGAGGCAGCAGUAGGGAAUCUUCCGCAAUGGGCGGAAGCCUGACGGAGCAACGCCGCGUGAGUGAUGAAGGUCUUCGGAUCGUAAAACUCUGUUAUUAGGGAAGAACAAAUGUGUAAGUAACUAUGCACGUCUUGACGGUACCUAAUCAGAAAGCCACGGCUAACUACGUG
This 497-nucleotide ribosomal RNA is filed under the name uncultured bacterium. Its description in RNAcentral is "partial 16S ribosomal RNA". It matches the Rfam family "Bacterial small subunit ribosomal RNA", at positions 28 to 507 of the family's 1533-position model. The record is from RNAcentral.